RNAcentral lists this long non-coding RNA (2690 nucleotides) under Homo sapiens (human). RNAcentral describes it as "non-protein coding lnc-DNAJB9-4:1". Lineage: Eukaryota; Metazoa; Chordata; Mammalia; Primates; Hominidae. The record is from RNAcentral.
GGAGAUAUGGGAAUUUCAGAAAAUAUACAACCUUAUUUAUUUGUAUUAUACAAUCAUACAUACUACUUGUUAUAAAAUGCAAAUUACAUAGAAAUGUUUAAAACAUUGCAAAAAGGAAAAUGCCUUCAUCAAAAACUUUUUUUUAUCCUAUCCUAACCCUUUCCCGAAGGCUAAGUACAUUGUUAAAAGUUCACUAUGCAUUUGUAAGGGCGUGCAUAUUUGUAUAUACGUGUAUGUACAUUUACAUAGUCACAUGAGAAACUUGCAUAUUAGAAUCAAUGGGUUUGUGACUAAUAUAAAUAUUAAGAAAUAUUAAAACAACACACACUAUUUUUUCAAACUUUAUUAGCCCUGUUAAGAGUAUGUCAGGUUGCAAUAAGAAAUUAAUUCCCAAAUUUGAAUAGAUUAAUAAAACAGAUUUAUUUCUCACUUAGGUAAUAGUAUAAUGCAAGUGAGUCAGGAACUCUAUUACAUAAAUAAAGUCAUUCAGCACCUCCGACUGACAAAGAUUCCACUUUUUGUAGUUGUAUCACUUAAAACAUGUAGCCUCUUUUCUAGGCUUCAGCCAGGAAGUAGCACGCUUUACUUCCCUUUACAGCACACAUUGGGCAGAACUGGUCAUAUUUUCUUGCCUUACUACAAUGGUACAGAGAUAUGUUGGAAAGCACAUUUGUAGUCACCAAGCAGUAAACAACUCUCACAUGCUGACUCACAAGCACAUCAUACUACUUGUCACGUGUGUCCGUGUGAAGAGACCACCAAACAGGCUUUGUGUGAGCAAUAAACUGUUUUAAUCACCCGGGUGCAGGCGGUCUGAGUCCGAAAAGAGUGUUAGAGAAGGGAUAUAGGGCUGGGGCUGUUUUAUAGGAUUUGGGUGGGUAGUAGAAAAUUACAGUCAAAGGGGGUUGUUCUCUAAUGGGGAGGGGCAGGGGUCACAAGGUGCUCAGUUGGGGAGCUUCUGAGCCAAGAGAAGGAAUUUCACAAGGUUAAUUGCUCAGUUAAGGUGGGGCAGAAACAAAUCACAGUGGUGGAAUGUCAUCAGUUAGGGCAGAAACUAGCCAUUUUCACUUCUUUUGUGAUUCUUCACUUGCUUCAGGCCAUCUGGAUGUAUACGUGCAGGUUUUGCAGUGAGUAAGUUGAGGCCUCGGUGAUUUUGGAGGAAGAGAAAUGCAAAGCCAGCAAUUGUUUGUUAAAGAAGGAUUAGAAACAGCUAGGAGAGACUGAGAGAGAUUGAUAGUGUGGUGGAGAUAGCUGGGGAGAAGUAGAGGGUGGCAUAAGAACGGGAAUGAGAAAAAGAAUGUGUAUAAAAGUAAAGAAUAGGACUUCAUCAGGGUGAAAGUACUGGAGUGUACCCUGUCAGCAAAGAUUAUCUACUUUAAGAGAGACUUAAGGGUGGAGGUUUGAGGUAAAACCAAGAGAUGUCAGUUAUGAUGGUUUGAAGGAAAAGUAUAAACUGGCAAUGUAAACAAGGGCAGGGUAUUUAUGAGUAGUUGAGAAUGGUGAAUAGGAGCAUGACUAGACAGAAGAUAGUAGGGAUGACAAGUUUUUGGGGUGCAGUUCAAGUUGGGGCAGUGUCAGGAAUGAGACUGGGGCCUAAUAAAAUGGAGUGUCCAUACAGGAGCUUAAAUGGGCUGUACCCUGUAGCACCCCAAGGACAGACCUGAAUUCUGAGAAGGGCAAGGGGUAAAAGUAUUGUCCAGUCCUUUUUAAGUUGGAGGCUGAGCUUGGUGAGGUGUGUUUUUAAAAGACCAUUAGUCUGUUUUACCUUUCCUGAAGACUGAGGAUGGUAAGUGGUAUGAGGGUUCCACUGAAUACCAACAGCCUGAGAAACUGCUUGGGUGAUUUGACUAAUAAAGGCUGGUCCGUUAUCGGACUGUAUAGAGGUGGGAAGGCCAAAUCGAGGAAUUAUAUCUGACAGAAGGGAAGAAAUGAUUGUGGUGGCCUUCUCAGACCCUGUGGGAAAGGCCUCUAAUCAUCCAGUGAAAGCGUCCACCCAGACCAAGAACUAUUUUAGUUUCCUGACUCCAGGCAUGUGAGUAAAGUCAAUUUGCCAGUCCUGGGCAGGGGUGAAUCCCCAAGCUUGAUGUGUAGGGAAGGGAGGUGGCCUGAGAAAUUCCUGAGGAGUAGUAGAAUAGCAGAUGGAACACUGAGAAGUGAUUUUUUGAGGAUAGAUUUUUAUGAUGGAGAGGGAAAGAGAGGUUUUAAGAGGCAGGCUAGCGGCUUGUAACUUGCAUGGAAGAGGUUAUGAAAUGAUGACAGAAUAGAAUGGGCCUGUGAGGCUAGAAGGAGAUAUUUUCCUUGGUCCAAGAACUAUUUGCCUUGUGUUGGAAGAGAUUGAUAGGUGGAAGUUUCAGUUGGGGAGUAGGUGGGAGUGACUGAUGAGAAGGAGAAAAACUGGCUGUGAGAGACAGAAGUUGGAAUGCUAGCUGCUUCUUUAGCUACUUUAUCAGCAUAAGUGUUGCCCUGAGCAAUGGGAUCUGAUGCCUUCUUGAUGGCCUUUGCAAUGAAUGACUCCAGCUUCCUUUGGAAGUAAAGCGGCCUUGAGAAGAGUUUUUAUUAAAGAGGCAUUAAGGAUGGAGGACUUUUGCGAAGUGAAGAAACCUCUUUUUGCCCAUUUAACAGAAUGGUGGUGCAGGAUAUGGAAGGCAUAUUUAGAGUCAGUAUAAAUAUUGACACGUAGUCCUUUUGCA